GAUUAGCUGGUUGGUGGGGUAAUGGCCCACCAAGGCAACGAUCCGUAGCUGUCUGAGAGGAUGAUCAGCCACACUGGGACUGANACACGGCCCNNACUCCUACGGGAGGCAGCAGUGGGAAUAUUGGACAAUGGGCGCAAGCCUGAUCCAGCAAUACCGCGUGUGUGAAGAAGGCCUGCGGGUUGUAAAGCACUUUCAGAAGAAGCACCGGCUAACUCCGUGCCAGCANCCCGGUAAUACGGAGGGUGCNAGCGUUAAUCGGAAUUACUGGGCGUAAAGCGCGCGUAGGCGGUUGAUUAAGUCAGAUUGAAAGCCCCGGGCUCNNCCUGGGUGCAUUUGAAACUGGUCANCUNGAGUCUNNGGGGGGUAGAAUUCCGGGUGUAGNGG
Molecule: ribosomal RNA, 387 nt
Filed under: uncultured bacterium
Lineage: Bacteria
Description: partial 16S ribosomal RNA
Rfam family: Bacterial small subunit ribosomal RNA
Source: RNAcentral